GCAUAACGCGAAGAACCUUACCUGGCCUUGACAUUGAUAGAAUCUGCUAGAGAUAGCGGAGUGCCCUUCGGGGGGCUUGAAAACAGGUGCUGCACGGCUGUCGUCAGCUCGUGUCGUGAGAUGUUGGGUUAAGUCCCGCAACGAGCGCAACCCUCGUCACUAGUUACUAACGGUUCGGCCGAGGACUCUAGUGAGACUGCCUUCGUAAGGAGGAGGAAGGUGAGGACGACGUCAAGUCAUCAUGGCCCUUACGGCCAGGGCGACACACGUGCUACAAUGGGAUGUACAAUGAGACGCAAUACCGCGAGGUGGAGCAAAUCUAUAAAACAUCUCUCAGUUCGGAUUGUAGUCUGCAACUCGACUACAUGAAACUGGAAUCACUAGUAAUCGUAGAUCAGCCAUGCUACGGUGAAUACGUUCCCGGGUCUUGUACACACCG
This 439-nucleotide ribosomal RNA is filed under the name uncultured bacterium. Its description in RNAcentral is "bacterial SSU rRNA". It matches the Rfam family "Bacterial small subunit ribosomal RNA", at positions 954 to 1392 of the family's 1533-position model. The record is from RNAcentral.